RNAcentral lists this ribosomal RNA (501 nucleotides) under uncultured Gemmatimonadota bacterium. Its description in RNAcentral is "bacterial SSU rRNA". It matches the Rfam family "Bacterial small subunit ribosomal RNA", at positions 372 to 865 of the family's 1533-position model. Lineage: Bacteria; Pseudomonadati; Gemmatimonadota. The record is from RNAcentral.
UGGGCGAAUGCCUGACGCAGCGACGCCGCGUGUGGGAUGAAGGUCUUCGGAUCGUAAACCACUGUCGGGGGGGACGAAGGCCCGGGGUUAACUGCCACCGGGAUUGACGGUACCCUCAAAGGAAGCACCGGCUAACUCUGUGCCAGCAGCCGCGGUAAUACAGAGGGUGCGAGCGUUGUCCGGAAUCACUGGGCGUAAAGGGCGCGUAGGCGGCUUGGUAAGCCGUGUGUGAAAUCCCGGGGCUCAACCCCGGAAUGGCACGCGGGACUGUCAGGCUAGAGCAUGGUAGAGGCGAGUGGAAUUCCUGGUGUAGCGGUGGAAUGCGUAGAGAUCAGGAAGAACACCAGAGGCGAAGGCGGCUCGCUGGGCCAUUGCUGACGCUGAGGCGCGAAAGCGUGGGGAGCAAACAGGAUUAGAUACCCUGGUAGUCCACGCCGUAAACGAUGGACACUAGACGUCGGGGGGAGCGACCCUCCCGGUGUCGUCGCUAACGCAAUAAGU